Molecule: long non-coding RNA, 3260 nt
Organism: Agelaius phoeniceus (red-winged blackbird)
Lineage: Eukaryota; Metazoa; Chordata; Aves; Passeriformes; Icteridae
Source: RefSeq, a predicted model, not a curated record
GCGGGGGCCGCGCGCGCUUUUCCCGCCCUCGGCGGGGCCGCGGGACCCCCCUGAGGGCGCCGCUCCCUCACACCCGCCAUGGCGGCACCGCCGUCACCCCCGCACCGCUCGCGGCACCCGGAGCUGCGCCACUCAGCAACCCGCGGCUGCCAGAAAGGAAUAACCGGGGAAUAACCGGCCAGGCAGGCACCGUGCGGAAGGAUGGACCCCGCUCCUGGAGGCUGCGGGAUCCGGUGCUCUUCUGCGGCCGCGGCGGGUCUCCGGUGCUGGAAGAGGCAGAAAAACAACAGCAACAAAAAAAUCCAAAACAACCAAAAGAAAAAUAAAAAUACUAAAAAUAAGGCGAAGAAAACCCCUUGUUUGUGUCGGACUGAGGAGGAGCAGAUGGGAGCGGUUCUGCCCGUGCGGGGUGGAUGCGGUGGUCGCUACCGCCGCGUUUAACUCCGCCAGUCGGUAGCGAAGCGAUUUCACCGUCCCGACCCGUCGCGCCGCCGGCUCCCGACAGCCGGCUCUGUGCCGAGCUGCUGGAAGGAGCCGCUCCUAGGGAUGUGCGCUGGCCACUGCAACACUACCAGCAAGCAGCCAGUCCUCGCGGAAAGGCAAAGGGAAGAUGCCGACAAUUCCCCGUGGUUCGGGCAGCCCCCGGUUCUCCGCGCAUCCCGCUGCCCGGCCGCAGCCGCCGGGGGUGCGGGGCCGGCCGGCGGCAGCGCCGCGUUCCUCCGGCUGCUGUUCCGCCUGCGGUGCUGAAGUGGGUUUUAUUCCCUGCUCUCCACCAGCCCCCAGGAACUGGGAUCAGGAGCUGAAGCCCAUCAGCUCCACGGUCCCACCGCCGGGCUGACAACGCGCAGGGGGCUCUUGGGGUUUUCCCUCUGGAAGGCUCCUGUGGGAGGCCCCCAAAUUCUGCUCCCAAAUUGGCGGCAUCAUGUCAGUGUUGGUGAUGAAGUGCAAGGCUUUAGGGGCUAGAUUGAGAAGGGAGACAUAGUUUUGUCGUUAAAAACUGAAGGAGGAAAAGCAAUCCCGCAUUCACUCCUUCUUUGCAUCUUCCAGCAGCCCCUCAGCAGAUGAAAAAAACCCGAUCCACAGAUGCAGUAAAUUUUAAGUUGGGGAUUUAAUUUCUUCAGUGUCCCACCACGUUUUCUUGAAGGGAGUCAUACAAACGACUUUUUUCUAACUGCUGGGUUGGUGCUGAUGGCUGUCAGCCACGGGAGGGGACCGGAGCCACCCGGCCCAGGCCCAGUCCUGCAGUGACCGUGGAUCAUCUCCGGCAGCUCUUCCAAUUGUGCUUCAGACUUGGAAUACCUGUUCUCUGCCCCACUCAUUUCCAGUGCCCGUGCAAUGAGCUGUAUGUCUAACAGAUCAAUGUUUCAGAUAUCUCUAGUAUUACUUUUUGGUUUUUUAAUUUUUUUUGAGUUUUGUAAAAAUUCCUAAUGAUUUUAGCUAAAAAGAGUUAACGAAGUGAGGAGCAGUUCAUCCUCCUUUCCUUACUUCUUCUCAGAGUCUUCCCUUCGUCCACCCUCCACACUCUUUAUGUUUAUCUCUCCUUCCCAUCCAAUUUUGGGGGAAUUUCCUCUCUGGGCUCCUUUCUGCCAUUUAUCCAGGCUGUCCCACUGCUGUGGAGCCUAGCUACAAUUUGCCUUGCUUCCCAUAUCUCCGGGCCUCAUUUCCCUGCCUCACUAAGCCUCUUUUUAUUCUGCAUUCCCUUCUUCCGAUCAUGCUUAAAGGAGGAAGAGGCUGGAGCUGGGAUUUAAAGUAGUCCUUUAGGAGUACUGCCAGAACUGAUCUGUUUUACUCUGCUGCUGCUGCUGUGGCUGUUCUGCUGUGUCAUGGGAAGAGUUUCCUCUCCACACCAACCCUUGGAAGCGGCACCUCGGGCAGAGCCGCUCGCUGCAAACCCUGGCCGUGUUUUACAAAGCCCCGGGCAAGUUUGUCUGGUGCAGGAUUGAGACUGGAAGGGGAAGGCACUGCUGCCUUCCUGGGCUCUGACCUGGAGAGCUGUGCACGAUUUUGGGAGAUUUGCAGGAGGCAGAGCGGCGGCGGCAGCAGUGACAGCGCAUCAUCGCUCAGCUUUAUUUCAUUUUCUCGAGCCAAGACGCUUUAGGUUACAGCCCAGCAGAAAAAGAAAAUGAAGCAUUUCUGUCAAAAGAGAGCUAUUUCCCAAAUUUGCUUUAAAUUAUUGCAAGAUCUUGCACGAAAAAAGAGCACAGAUUCUGUCUCCUCUUAAAAAAUGUUGUUAGUUAUAAAAUCUUUACAAUCUUGGCUCUCUCCCCCUCAGCCUGUCUCCUUCAAAAACUUGCUUUCAAAAAUGUGAAGUUUAAAGAUGACUCUUCUUUCUCUCUCUGUCCCCUCUCCUAAAUUUAUGUUCCUUGGAAAGGCCUGAAGAAGCCUGAGGCUGCAUCUCUCCGUGAAUAAACACCGACGUGCACAUACACGUGCAUAUCCAUGCACACACACAGGAUUUAAAGCAUCCCAUUGAAGUCCACAUAUAGGAAAAUCCUUAAUCAUGUGAUAGGCUUUAAUAUCUGCCUUAAAAUUAAUCCCUAACUGAUGGACUCUCUGUGGUGGCAGAUCACAGGAGGCUCAGUAGCUGGGGCUCCUGUGCAGGUUUUAAAAAACUGCCAGAUAAAAUCCCCUGUUUGCUGUUGUAUUAAUUUGUUUGCUCACAGCAGCUACCUGGGAAAUGCUCAUCUAGUGAAACCAAGUAAGAAAACUUUAUAGGGCUCUGAUCUUGUUUUUCCACAGUUAAAAAGAAAGACCUUGUCAUGAGGUCAGGACAUGAUGUUAUUACACAAGGAAAUGGCUGAAGUUGGCUGCAGAGUUCUUCGGGCGCUCUGUUGGAGAUAACAUUUCUAAAUUUUAUUGGAGUGUGAGUUUUGAAGCUCGUCCUGCUUAAUUCUCAGAGUUGUCUUUGCUUUGUUUUUAUUCAUUUUUGGUGUUGACACUGAGUUUUCUUGUUUCACUUCUCUUUCCUAUUCAUUUCACUCUUUAGUUCCCACGUGUUAGAAAGUGCAGUUUCAUUUAGACUCUUGAGAGAAGAAAGUCUGAUUCCAGAGAGCAAUUUGCAGCAAUAUAUUUUUCCUUGCCACUCACACAAAAACAUCACUACUCCAACAGAUAUAGGAAUAAACAAUGCUGACAAGCCCUCAAAACCAAAAUCAGAUUGUGAAAUUGAGGCAAAUAGCCCAGAGAACCCGAAAUUUUCUGGUUUCUAAAAUGCUGUCUGCUGUCAAAAAUGGGGUAAAAUAAAGCUUUGUUUACGUGUA